CCUUCUGUGAUGAUUUUAUCAGAAUGACUUUCGUUCUUCUGAAUUUGCUGAAGCCAAAUUUUUUGUCUGAGAAGG
This is a small nucleolar RNA of Trichechus manatus latirostris (Florida manatee), 75 nucleotides long. RefSeq annotates it as small nucleolar RNA SNORD59. NCBI's taxonomy places the organism in Eukaryota, Metazoa, Chordata, Mammalia, Sirenia, Trichechidae. The transcript has a single exon. The record is from RefSeq and is a predicted model, not a curated record.